This 74-nucleotide transfer RNA is filed under the name Actinoplanes digitatis. It matches the Rfam family "tRNA". Rfam says of the family: Transfer RNA (tRNA) molecules are approximately 80 nucleotides in length. Their secondary structure includes four short double-helical elements and three loops (D, anti-codon, and T loops). Further hydrogen bonds mediate the characteristic L-shaped molecular structure. tRNAs have two regions of fundamental functional importance: the anti-codon, which is responsible for specific mRNA codon recognition, and the 3' end, to which the tRNAs corresponding amino acid is attached (by aminoacyl-tRNA synthetases). tRNAs cope with the degeneracy of the genetic code in two manners: having more than one tRNA (with a specific anti-codon) for a particular amino acid; and 'wobble' base-pairing, i.e. permitting non-standard base-pairing at the 3rd anti-codon position. Lineage: Bacteria; Bacillati; Actinomycetota; Actinomycetes; Micromonosporales; Micromonosporaceae. The record is from Rfam by way of RNAcentral.
GUGCCGCUAGCUCAAUUGGCCAGAGCAUCCGGCUCUUACCCGGAGGGUUCGGGGUUCGAUUCCCCGGCGGCGCA